This 736-nucleotide ribosomal RNA is filed under the name uncultured bacterium. RNAcentral describes it as "bacterial SSU rRNA". It matches the Rfam family "Bacterial small subunit ribosomal RNA", at positions 8 to 722 of the family's 1533-position model. The record is from RNAcentral.
AGAGUUUGAUCAUGGCUCAGAACGAACGCUGACGGCGUGCUUAACACAUGCAAGUCGCACGAGAAUUUCUACCUUCGGGUGGAAUAGUAAAGUGGCGCACGGGUGAGUAACGCGUGGAUAAUCUGCCUUCAAGUAGGGAAUAACAUUGCGAAAGCGAUGCUAAUACCGUAUAAGCUCACGAUUUGACUAGUUGUGGGAAAAGAUGGCCUAGUCUAUGCUAUCGCUUGAAGAUGAGUCCGCGUACCAUUAGCUUGUUGGUAGGGUAAUGGCCUACCAAGGCUACGAUGGUUAGCUGGCCUGAGAGGGCGGCCAGCCACACUGGAACUGAGACACGGUCCAGACUCCUACGGGAGGCAGCAGUGGGGAAUAUUGCGCAAUGGGGGAAACCCUGACGCAGCGACGCCGUGUGAGUGAUGAAGGUUUUCGGAUCGUAAAGCUCUGUCGGGUGGAAAGAAUAAAGGCUGUGUAAAUAAUGCAGUCUGAUGACGGUACCACCAAAGGAAGCACCGGCUAACUCCGUGCCAGCAGCCGCGGUAAUACGGAGGGUGCAAGCGUUGUUCGGAAUUAUUGGGCGUAAAGGGCGUGUAGGCGGGUAUGCAGGUCAGGUGUGAAAUCCCUCGGCUCAACCGAGGAAGUGCAUCUGAAACCGCGUAUCUUGAGUACGAGAGAGGCAGAUGGAAUUCCCAGUGUAGAGGUGAAAUUCAUAGAUAUUGGGAAGAACACCGGUGGCGAAAGC